Molecule: non-coding RNA, 30 nt
Filed under: Rattus norvegicus (Norway rat)
Lineage: Eukaryota; Metazoa; Chordata; Mammalia; Rodentia; Muridae
Source: RNAcentral
UUAAAAAGGAACUCUAUAGAGUUAGUUUUC